GCAUCCGUAGCUCAGCUGGAUAGAGUACUCGGCUACGAACCGAGAGGUCGGAGGUUCGAAUCCUUCCGGAUGCA
This 74-nucleotide transfer RNA is filed under the name Candidatus Palibaumannia cicadellinicola. RNAcentral describes it as "Candidatus Baumannia cicadellinicola tRNA-Arg". It matches the Rfam family "tRNA". Rfam says of the family: Transfer RNA (tRNA) molecules are approximately 80 nucleotides in length. Their secondary structure includes four short double-helical elements and three loops (D, anti-codon, and T loops). Lineage: Bacteria; Pseudomonadati; Pseudomonadota; Gammaproteobacteria. The record is from RNAcentral.